Molecule: long non-coding RNA, 493 nt
Organism: Psammomys obesus (fat sand rat)
Lineage: Eukaryota; Metazoa; Chordata; Mammalia; Rodentia; Muridae
Exons: 2
Source: RefSeq, a predicted model, not a curated record
UCAGGUGCUCUGUCCUGUGCAUUUUACGUCUCUGGCUUAGGUACAGGAGCUGCUCAAUGAAUACUUAAUGAAGUAAAGAUCACAGUAUGCAUCGAAGGUCUUCUCCCACCUUUAAAAAAAUGAAAUACAGGAAGAAGACAAAGAAAAAACAGAAAAUCCACUCUGGGAGUGUUGGGAACAAAGCCCUGGGACCCUUCCUAAGGGCCUGACCUGCCAGAUAAGCACCAGGCGCCAGCAGGCCAUAGCUUCUUACAACCCAUUGUUCCCAAAACUGUUUGCUUUGGGACACAUCCGUGACCACCGAUGUGACCACCGAUGUUAUCUUCGGGCCUUGUAACUCUUUAACCCACCUUCUUAGCCUUGGGAACUUCCCACCAAGGGUCUUGGUAUUUUUCCACUACUACUUCCCUUUCUCGCCCCUCUCCCCCGCCCUGCCAAAACCACGUUUUAAAAGAAACACCAAAGUUCAAUAAAGGGGACACUUGACCGGCAA